GACGAACCGUGCGAACGUUGUUCGGAAUCACUGGGCUUAAAGGGCGCGUAGGCGGCCCGCCGCGUCCGGGGUGAAAUCCUCCCGCUCAACGGGAGAACGGCCUCGGAUACGAGCGGGCUGGAGGCGGGUAGGGGCAGGCGGAACUGUGGGUGGAGCGGUGAAAUGCGUUGAGAUCCACAGGAACUCCGGUGGCGAAGGCGGCCUGCUGGACCCGAUCUGACGCUGAGGCGCGAAAGCCAGGGGAGCGAACGGG
RNAcentral lists this ribosomal RNA (253 nucleotides) under uncultured bacterium. RNAcentral's name for it is "partial 16S ribosomal RNA". It matches the Rfam family "Bacterial small subunit ribosomal RNA", at positions 524 to 776 of the family's 1533-position model. The record is from RNAcentral.